This 6153-nucleotide long non-coding RNA is filed under the name Homo sapiens (human). Its description in RNAcentral is "HSALNT0299472". Lineage: Eukaryota; Metazoa; Chordata; Mammalia; Primates; Hominidae. The record is from RNAcentral.
UCUUGCUCUGUCACCCAGGCUGGUGUGCAGUGGUGUAAUCAUGGCUUCCUGAAGCCUUGACCUCCUGGGCUCAAGAGAUCCUCCUGCCUCAACUUCUCAAGUAGCUAAGAUUAUAGGCACACACCACCACACCCAGCUAAUAAGCAGGAUCUCUUUCUUUCUUCAGCAUGCCUGCACAGGUGAGCUCACCCCGCUCACUCAUCAUUUAAGGUGCAGCUCAAAUUCCAUCUUCUCUCUGUGACCCUCACUUGUUGGUCUGCAGAGAUUUUCCUCCUCCCAAGUCCCAGAAUACUUAUAGCUGACACCACUCAUUUAGCACCAGGGCUGGCUUCACAUUAGCAUACACAGGCUCUGAGAAAUUCCAUGACGAAGAAACCCAUUUAAAUUAAACCCAUAGGGUCUCUGUCUUAGGCAGUGCAGCCUCCCUUUCUCAGGUAAUGACCAUAACGAUCUCACUGAAACAGCAUUUCAUAACACACACCUUGGAAAAUACUAUGCUGGUUAUUCUCUGAUAUAAUUUCUAGUUCCGAGAUUAGAUGCAUCAGUGAUUCCAGAUAACAAGCAGAUCUUGGGCUGGCUGGUCAGUUUGUUCUCCCUGUCCAAGUUACAGGAGAAGGUCUGGGGAGGUUGCUAAGCUACAGGGUCACUAUCUGACUUGAUCACCAGCAUCAUACCACCCCUGUGCUCCUGUACCCCAAGAGAUGGCCUGUUUUCAUCUAACCCUAUCAACCUGUGCCCCAAGAGAUGGCCUGUUUUCAUAGAAACCUUUUAAUUCUUUCACAAUAAAGACAGACCAAGAUUAAAAUACACACUGAUGAAGUUUAAAUAGGGCUAUUCCUGUUUGUUCUAAUUAUGCUAAAAUGCACAAUUUGAACAACAGUCCUCCCCAGAGAUGCCAGAUUCUUGUGACCAAUAAACCUAUUGAACCCACCUUCAACUUCAGGCUAAUAGUUCAUUUAAGAGGAUUCGUUUGAAAAGUAUAAAUGUGACUUUUUCUAAAAACAUGGUUUUCACAUUUUCCUUCCUGGCUUCUCCUAUUUCAGCAUCCCGCCUCCAGAGCCCUGUGGGUUGAAGACCGCUGUGCUCUUUUCUUUCGGCUUCACACGCUGGUUAGUCUUCUGUUUGCUUUGUCAGCACGGUACUUUUCAUUUCCUUCGUGGUGUUUUUAGGAGCUCCUGAAUUUCACAGACAAAUCCAGACCCCUGUGUGGAAAGCCUGCGGUGGUGUUCUCCGUCUUCCCACAGGACUCCCUGCAGCCAGGAAUUCUAGGGGAGCACCUGACGCGAGAUUUCUUUUCUAACAGGAAAAAAAAUAUGUGUCAGUUUCUCUGUGUGCAGCCCCUGACCCAUUGCCCAGAGAUCUCCGGAUGUCAACCGAGAGAUGCAUACAUCACAAUGUGACGCGUCAGGACCAUGGCCUAGUGGCUGCGCACAGCUGCUGGUGAUGAGUCCAGAUCUCUGCAGAUCCUCCUACUUUCGGCCCCGCAGUCUACUUGUUUAACUGAUGAUUCAUAGGCAUUAUUAGUAACUCAAAAUAAUCUUUUUUGAUGCCAAAACCAAAAAGUGAUAAAUCAAGAGUAUAUCCUUUCUAUUGUUGCUUUAUAAAAUACUUUCAUGCUAUCCAGGCAGUCCUAAUUAAAUCUUAAACAACAAACAAGGCUAAGGUUCAGAACUAGAAAUGUUAAGCUACAAAUAUGCUAACUGAUGAUGUGAAAAUCAGGUCCCAGUUGGUCGUACUAAUCAAGAUAAAGUGAUGCGGCUAACCUCCAGGUUUUACCCGCUUCUUGGGAAGUCAAAUGUUAAAAAUCAGGAAACUCCAAAUUACUCAUUAUAACUCCUUUGAGCUUUAACAGAGACGCUUCAUUGAAAUUUAAUAGAGAAUGUCCCUGGUUUUGGAGGGGUUCUGUUUCUUUACUAAACUGUUCUUAGGAUAGUAACCAAAAUAUCGUACUUUAUUUUGUGCUUACGUAUUUCAAUGGAAAUAAUUCUGUGUUAAAAUUUAAGAGAGAAAAUGAAAAUAUUAACUAAAAGGUUAUUAAAAUUUUUUUAAAGAAAAAAGUAUAAUGCCAUGAUGAAUUGAAAAUUAAUGUUACUACUUUGAAGAAUCAAGUUGAUUGUAUGUACACACAUUUUAAAAGGAGUAUAUUCUUGAGAGCCUUCCUCUACCAAGACUUUCUAGCAUUAAACUUGUUUAUCAUAGAUCUGUUCCAAAUCCCAUGUGGUAGAGUUAGUAACUAUCUCAUCUAUAGAUUAUUCUUUUUGAGGACACUAAUGUUUGCUUUAUAGUCAGAUUUCAGAGUCCCUCACCAUUUUGAUUUUUAUUUUUUUUUAAGAGAUGGUCUCCCUAUAUUGCUCAGGCUGGCCUUGAACUCCUGGGUUAAAGCGAUCCUCCAGCCAUAGCCUCAUAAGUAGCUGGGACUAUAGGCAUAAGCACCACACCUGGCCUCAACACUGCUCUGUUUGUUUGUUUUGUUUUGGAGACAGAGUGUCUCGCUCUGUCACCCAGGCUGGGGUGCAGUGGUGCGAUCUUGGCUCAUUGCAACCUCUGCCUCAUGAGUUCAAGCAAUUCUCAUGCCUCAGCCUCCCAAGUAGCUGGGACUACAGGCACACACCGCCACAUCCUGCUAAUUUUUAUAUUUUAGUAGAGAUGGGGUUUCACUGUGUUGCUCAGGCUGGUCUCGAACUCCUGAGUUCAGGCAAUCUGCCUGCCUCGGCCUCCCAAAGUGUUGGGAUUACAGGCAUAAGCCACCGUGCCCAGCCCUCUUCACUGUUCUUUAUGUGUGGAUGAUAUUACAUGGGUAGGGCUAAAUGUCACCACCAAUUUCCUACAGUACAGAUCUGUGGGGACCAUCCUUUGAUGUGCGUCUGUUACAUGCUUUUUAGGACAUGACUGUGUUUGUGAUUCUACUCCUUUAUGAUCAACUUAAAAAUUCCCAGACUCAUAUUUUGAUUAGAAACAAUUCACAGAUAAUAUCAGAUACUUGUUGAGUAGGAGUAGUUAAUGCAUCAUCCCAGGAUACCCAUUCCCAUGUAAAAUUGCUAAAGAAUUAUUUAUUAUCACUUCCGUUCCGAAUCUUCUCCAGAAGCUUAUUGUUAUCUCUAGGUUAAACACUAGUUUCUAGGUUAAAACUAGUUUCAUAACUAGUGUUAUCAAAAUGGAAUAUUAGAUUCUGAAGAGGUUUAACAAUGGCGUGUUCACAUUUACACAUUACACUUGCACACGAGGAAGAUGGGAGGAAAUGAGCAACUUUAAGGAGACAACUAGUUGAAGAAUUUAAUUCCAGUGAAGAUAAGGAAAGUUUAAUUCUACCUACUCUUGAAUUGAUAUAAACUAGAUCUAUCUUCCAUAUAUCUAGCAGUUCUCUGUCUCCCUCGUAAAGAGGAAACAAAAUCUUCACAGGGUAUUUGUGAGUUGAUGUUAUGUGCAGCGUAUACAUGCAUCAUUUCUUCCCUGACGACACGUCCUUUUAAUAGUACCCGAGGCACCCGCAGGACACAGAAUGGGAAAGCCUAGGUCCCAUGUGAAAACAUGUAGUCUCUAUUUGGUCACAGCUGAUUGGACCAAAUGUGGGCACUAACCUAAGCUGAGCCAUCCAAAUUUCUUCUUUUGGGAAUUCAAAAUUGAGCCACAAAGUAAGUUACUUAAAAGCAGCUGUGUUGGGAAGUCAUACACAUACAGAGGUUGGCAUGACUGUCCAAGUCCACAUAAUAGAAAGAUAAGAGAAGUCAAGCUUCAGAGAAUGAGGGAGGGAGGGAAGGAGGGAGAGGGAGAGAGAGGAAGGUAGGGAGGGAGGGAAGGAAGGAGAGAGAGAGAGGAAGAGGAGAGGAAGAGGAAGAGGAGCACCAGGAGAGAGCAAACCAUAGUGAAAAAGACACUGUCCUCGUCCUCGCAACAGAGAGAAAUGAUGAAUGAGAAAAUGGCGGGGGAGUCCACCACUGUCCCACUCAAACCAGUUUCAUGACUUUCUGUGAGUUCCUCUAAAUCUUUGGCAUAAAUUACUUGUCAUUUAAGCUUGUUUCAGAAGGAUUUUCCUUCUUUCCUAAGCUAUUCUUACGGUAUUAACCAGAUAAUGUUGUACUUUAUUUUCUGCAUACAUAAUUUUUGAAGUCCCUCAACUUUUAUAUGUGUGCUUUUAAUAUUAGACUAAAAUUGUUUAGUUGUGGCCUAAAAACUCAAGCAAUUUUUAGCAAAGAGCCUGUUGCACAGGUUGCAUGAGUAAAUGACUCAAAGGCUGAAGAUUCAAAAUAAACAUCCUGUCAAAAUACUCAUCAAAAUGGCACAAAAGAAAACAUGCUAGUACACUGUGGUUAAAAAAUGGAAAAUAAAGUUCCACAUUCCCCAUGAAUCCCCAUGAUGAAAUCAAACAGAAUUUAUCUCCAAGUUCAUUUCCAGUAAGCCUCGUUUUAAACGCAUAUUACCAGCAGCUUUAAUAUGUUUGAUGAUAAAACACGUAUACCUUCAAGAGAAUGUAUGUAACUUAUAAGUAGAUUAUAAAGCAUAAUAAAAUGGAUACUUGUGAAUCUUCCACCCUAAAAACUAGAACCUCACCAAAAUGUACUACUAUUAAAGCUGUGUUUCUCCAUACAGAUACAUAUAUGCAUAUCCUGUUGAAAUUGAGUUGGAUCUAUAGAUCAAUUUGGGAAGAAUUGACAUAUGUAUGUGGCAUAUAUAUUCAUUUAUUUGUUGAUCUUCUCUAAGCAUUUUGUUAUUGUUUGUAUGACUUUUGACAUUAUCAUGAAUGGAACAGCUUUUUUAUUUUUAUUUUCAUUUGUUUGCUGCGAGUGAAGAGAAAUAUAAUUGACUUUUGUUUAGGAGUCUCAUACACUGUAACUUUCCUAAGCCCGCUAUUACUUCUUGUAUUUGCUUUCUAGAUUCCUUGGGAUUCUUUUUUUCCUAGAAUAUCAUUGCCUCUACAAACUGAAGCAAUUUUAUUUCUUCUAUUCCAAAAUGUAUUUGUUUUCCUUGCCCUAUGUCACUGGUAAGACCUCUAAAAAAAUAUUGAUAAAAAAAAAAAAAAGCUGUGUUUCUCAAUUAGGGUCCAUUCAGUUCCCCAAGCUACCCACUGCCCCAUCCCCAGGGGAUGUGCAGCAAUGCCUGGAGACAUUUCUGCUUGUCGCAACUGUCAGGGGGAUGCUAUUAGUAUUUAGUCGGUAGAGGCCAGAGAUGCUGCUAAACAUCCUGCAUUGCACAGGAUAGCCCCCAAACAGCAAAGAAUUAUUCAGCUCACAAUGUUGACAGCUUCAAGGGUGAGAAGCCCUGCAUUAAAGCUGCGUGUUUAUGCCUAAUCCCAUAUGUCUACCACUUUCCUGUAAUGCAACCACUAUUUUAAUUCAGUAUUUAACAUUAUCUUAUUUCUAAAAUAUAAUUUAUCCCAUACAUAUGCAUCCCUAAUAGCAUUAUAAAAUUAAUCACUAGCUUUUGAAAAGAAUGCUAAUGAGCCUCAAGCAUAUAUCAAAGGGAAACAUAACACUAUGAAUAAUUAUAGAUUUCUGGAAAGGUUUUCACCUAUUUCCUGAAAGCAAGGUUUGCAGCAGAAAUUUAUCUUAUCCAUCAAUCUCUUCUUCUGAAAAUAUUAAUUUGUGUGAACAAUGAAAAAAAUCAUAGUUCGCCUGUUCUUGGGGGCUUUAAUUCUUAUUAACCAGUACAGUUCAAUCAAUUUAAUUACCAACAUUUUAGAAUUCAUUGGCUAGAAGACUAACGGGGAAACAUGAAAGGGUGAAAAUCUUCUGUCAUGACACAUCGUUGCUUUCAAAUAAUUCAGUAAAUGAGAGUAAGGGAACUUUUAAGAUAAUCAAUUAUGUAUUCCAGCUGUAAAAAUAAAAAGAAUCUUAGCACAAUGCAUUUUUAAUUUUAACAUAUCUAUUCAAAUACUGUGAAAACUAUGUUGUAGAAUCUCUCACAGGUUGCUUUGAUGCUUCAUUUUUAGUCUACAGGUUUGGACCUACAAGGGUGGUUUCUAAGAGUUGUCUCUUCCCUGUCAUAUAUUUGUCUUAUGACUAGGAUAUUCUGCUUCUUGGGAAAUACUGUGCUUUGAUUAUAUAUAACCUUCUAGUCCAACAGUUAAGCUAUCUAUAGGAAUGUUUGCUUUCAGAAACAAUUAGGCUUAAAAAUAAAGACUGUGCUCAAAAAUAAUAAACUUACUUAAAAAUAACA